CCAGUGAUUCCAGACCUGGAGGAGGUUCAAGAGGAAGACCUCACCAUGCAGAUCGCUGCUCCACCAAGUAUCCAGGUGAACAGAGUUAUGACCUACAGAGACCUGGACAACGACCUCAUGAAGUACUCGGCUUUUCAGACCCUGGAUGGAGAGAUUGGCCUGAAGCUGCUUACGAAGGUUUUAGCCCCGGAG
This is a long non-coding RNA of Sinocyclocheilus grahami, 192 nucleotides long. RefSeq lists it as uncharacterized. NCBI's taxonomy places the organism in Eukaryota, Metazoa, Chordata, Actinopteri, Cypriniformes, Cyprinidae. The record is from RefSeq and is a predicted model, not a curated record. The transcript is spliced from 3 exons.